This 85-nucleotide transfer RNA is filed under the name Bacteroidota bacterium. RNAcentral describes it as "Bacteroidetes bacterium tRNA-Ser". It matches the Rfam family "tRNA". From Rfam's summary of the family: Transfer RNA (tRNA) molecules are approximately 80 nucleotides in length. Their secondary structure includes four short double-helical elements and three loops (D, anti-codon, and T loops). RNAcentral also lists the same sequence under 1 other name. The record is from RNAcentral. Lineage: Bacteria; Pseudomonadati; Bacteroidota.
GGAGGGGUGGCCGAGUGGUUGAUGGCAACGGUCUUGAAAACCGUCGAUCCGCAAGGAUUCGUGGGUUCGAAUCCCACCCCCUCCG